CCUACGGGUGGCAGCAGUGGGGAAUAUUGCACAAUGGGCGCAAGCCUGAUGCAGCGACGCCGCGUGAGCGAAGAAGUAUUUCGGUAUGUAAAGCUCUAUCAGCAGGGAAGAAAAUGACGGUACCCGUCCAAGAAGCUCCGGCGAAAUACGUGCCAGCAGCCGCGGUAAUACGUCUGGAGCAAGCGUUAUCCGGAAUUACUGGGGGUAAAGGGAGCGUAGACGGAUGUGCAAGUCCGAUGUGAAAGGCGGGGGCUCACCCCCUGGACUGCAUUUGAAACUGUAAAUCUUGAGUGCCGGAGAGGUAAGCGGAAUUCGUGGUGUAGCGGUGAAAUGCGUAGAUAUUGGGAGGAACACCAGUGGCGAAGGCAGCUUGCUGGACGGUCACUGACGUUGAGGCUCGAAAGCGUGGGGAGCGAACAGGAUUAGAUACCCGUGUAGUC
RNAcentral lists this ribosomal RNA (440 nucleotides) under uncultured bacterium. Its description in RNAcentral is "partial 16S ribosomal RNA". It matches the Rfam family "Bacterial small subunit ribosomal RNA", at positions 338 to 795 of the family's 1533-position model. The record is from RNAcentral.